AAUAGAGGAGCUUAGGCUAAGAACUUCACAUCCUGUGAAAAUGCUAAGUGACCAACAUUAAGCUGA
RNAcentral lists this small RNA (66 nucleotides) under Lysinibacillus xylanilyticus. Its description in RNAcentral is "Bacillaceae-1 RNA". It matches the Rfam family "Bacillaceae-1 RNA". The record is from RNAcentral. Lineage: Bacteria; Bacillati; Bacillota; Bacilli; Caryophanales; Bacillaceae.